CAGGAAGUGCAUUUAGCUGGGAGACAAUGGAAACUUGGUGGACAGUGAAAUGAAAUAUUUGGGCAGUCCCAUUACUACUGUUCCAAAAUUGGAUAAAAAUCCAAACCUAGGAGAAGACCAGGCAGAAGAGAUUUCAGAUGAAUUAAUGGAGUUUUCCCUGAAAGAUCAAGAAGCAAAGUGAGCAGAAGUGGCCUAUAUCGCUCCCCGUCGA
RNAcentral lists this long non-coding RNA (211 nucleotides) under Homo sapiens (human). Its description in RNAcentral is "non-protein coding lnc-GFRA3-1:5". The record is from RNAcentral. Lineage: Eukaryota; Metazoa; Chordata; Mammalia; Primates; Hominidae.